GACGAACGCUGGCGGCGUGCUUAACACAUGCAAGUCGAACGGAAAGGCCUCUUUCGGGGGGUACUCGAGUGGCGAACGGGUGAGAAACACGUGAGUAACCUGCCCUUGACUUUGGGAUAACUUCAGGAAACUGGGGCUAAUACCGGAUAGGAGCUCCUGCUGCAUGGUGGGGGUUGGAAAGUUUCGGCGGUUGGGGAUGGACUCGCGGCUUAUCAGCUUGUUGGUGGGGUAGUGGCUUACCAAGGCUUUGACGGGUAGCCGGCCUGAGAGGGUGACCGGCCACAUUGGGACUGAGAUACGGCCCAGACUCCUACGGGAGGCAGCAGGGGGGAAUAUUGCACAAUGGGUGGAAGCCUGAUGCAGCAACGCCGUGUGCGGGAUGACGGCCUUCGGGUUGUAAACCGCUUUCGCUCAUGACGAAGCUUUGUGUGACGGUAGUGGGUAAAGAAGCACCGGCUAACUACGUG
RNAcentral lists this ribosomal RNA (467 nucleotides) under uncultured bacterium. RNAcentral describes it as "partial 16S ribosomal RNA". It matches the Rfam family "Bacterial small subunit ribosomal RNA", at positions 28 to 507 of the family's 1533-position model. The record is from RNAcentral.